This is a long non-coding RNA of Felis catus (domestic cat), 2301 nucleotides long. RefSeq lists it as uncharacterized. The record is from RefSeq and is a predicted model, not a curated record. The transcript has 2 exons. Lineage: Eukaryota; Metazoa; Chordata; Mammalia; Carnivora; Felidae.
GUCCCGCUCUUCCGGCCCGACGGCGCCGCUGACUGGCCCAAGCUCAGCCAAUCACACGCCGUCUUUUAGGUAUGUGCCCUCAUCUGACGGCUGACUGGUCCCUGGCGGCACGGGCUCGAGGACGUAGGGUCGGCAGGUCGGACCGAGGCGGAGCGUAGCUGGAUUCCCGGGCUGGAGCGGGGUUCAGAAUCUCUGCCCGGGUCUCCGGCGCUGAAUGGUGAAAAGGCAGUGGCCCCCGGCCGGGCGUAACUCGUGGCGCCCUCAGGCCGCCGGUUGCCUCUCUCAAGUUCCGACGGAGCGGUGCGCACUGCAUCUCACGUGGUGGCCGCCUAGCCAGCCCAGGCCUGGACGCUGCGGUCCCGACGGUGCCUGCCUGCGUGGCCCCGAGUCCCCGCGCUAUGCGCGGUCGCUGGACGCGAGACUGGCCGCGCGUCUUUACAGACCGGAUGAGGUCUGCCUCUCCGUGUUGUUCUGCUUUAUCCCAGACUCCAGUUUCCAACUCUUGCAAACGAGUUUACCCCCACCUUUUAGUAUUUUCAUGCCGACUGUAAUAUUCUCCGUUAAUCCAGUGUUUGCCCAAACCAACACGAGUAACUAACCCUGACGGGCGGCACCCCGAUGGGCUGCCUCCUAGCCGUGGAGCGAACAGGAUGCGCCCGGGCACUGCUCAGGUUUUUUGGCUCCGCUGCUGAACUGUUAGGGUCAGAACCUAUGAACAGGGCUGAACUUCCAGCCAGGGCUCACAUGUAUGCUGUUUGGCCGGCAUCCAAGCUCACUGGGCAGUGCCCCUGCCAUAUUAGCUGCCACAUAGUUCAAACAUCACCCCUGCGUGUUGUCUCUCUUGUCUCUGCCCGCCUGCCUUGGAGUCUCCAUUCUCCUUCUGAGCCGACAGGAAUAUCACUGCAGCACAGAAGGCAGGCUCAUGCUUCUGGAAGCUCUGGCACACUGUCUUGCUGUUUCAUGUCAAGAAUAGCUCAUCCCUGCCCCCAUCACCUCCCCCUCCUCAGAAGUGGCUAGAAGGUCUAACAAAUGCCAGCUUUAUUGAGGAUGUGGCAGGUGGAACCCUCAUACAUUGCUCGCAAAAUUGAAAACUAUUGGCAAAACCGUUUGGCAAUAUUUACAAAACCUAAACAUCUGAAUGAAUAGCCUGUAACCAAACAGUGCCUUGCCCAGGUAUACACUCCAAAGAAAUAAGAACUUAGUCCACCAGAAGGCACACACAAACCCAGCCAAAGCAACUUUUAACAGCUUCAAACCAGAAAUGCCACAGAUGUCCACUCGCAGGAGAAAAGAUGAAAGAAACCAGAACACUACACAAUGACGAAUAAUACACAACCGCAACCCACAACAGUGUAGAAGAAGCCAGACCCCACAGCAUGCAGUGGGUGCACUGCAUGUGUCACUGUAGUGACUGCACACGGACGACUGCAAUCCAGGAAAGCAAAUCCAUCACCACACAGCGAUCCAAAGCAGUCCUUGCCCACUCCGCCCUGAGUGCUCAGUCACAGGAGCUUGUUCCCAACUCUGGCCCUGCCUGUGUGUUAUCAGGAGGCUCGCCUCACUUCUCCAAGCCUGGGUGUCAUCUGUAAAAUAGAGCCAUAGAACCAAUCCACAGGACGUUGGAGAAGAUGAGAUUUAAGACCAGACACGGUGUAAGCCUCCCGGGCAGGUCAGCCUGUCGUUACAGAAGUGUGGCAGCUCCCUGUAUUUUCCCUUUCCCUACCCACUUAAGGCAGAGCUUGGCUCAUUGCCACUGCCUCAGAGGAGAGAAGUCAGACCAGAGAAGCCUGCGGCCAUUAAACAUUUCUCGGUUUGGCUUUUGUUUCCAAAACCCCCAGGUAGGAGGAGGAGGAGGAACAGAGAGAGACCUGUAUGUCCCAGAAUCAUGGGGUAGUUGUGCAGUGCGGUCACCAACCGAGGAUCCCCGGCUGAGAGCAUGAUGAGUGGGCCUGUGUUCCACCUGCACUGUUCCCUGGGCCCGUCCCCACUCCCGACCUUAUAUGACCUGCAUAGGAGCACACCGAGCUAGCAGGAGCCACCAGACCAGAGGGAACAGUCUGGCCUGGCUUGAAGGGGAUGGAGAAGUGCUGGGCCACUGAGGCAGCCAUGGCCAGCAUCUGUGUGUCUCUUCCUCCCCAUCCCCAGAGCACCCACGUGUCCAUGGCUGUCAGCUCCUGUAACUGCCCGGAAAUGACACCCAGCCACCAGAGAGUCUCCAGACCCCUGUCUGGGGGCAGGCCAGGAGUGUCAGGAUUAAUGCCCCUGGGAGCAGCCCUCAGCAGUGACAGGGAACGUGGAUAA